Molecule: ribosomal RNA, 394 nt
Filed under: uncultured Gammaproteobacteria bacterium
Lineage: Bacteria; Pseudomonadati; Pseudomonadota; Gammaproteobacteria
Description: bacterial SSU rRNA
Rfam family: Bacterial small subunit ribosomal RNA
Source: RNAcentral
AAUGGGCGAAAGCCUGACGGAGCAACGCCGCGUGAGGGAUGAAGGCCUCUGGGCUGUAAACCUCUUUUAUCAAGGAAGAAGAUCUGACGGUACUUGAUGAAUAAGCCACGGCUAAUUCCGUGCCAGCAGCCGCGGUAAUACGGGAGUGGCAAGCGUUAUCCGGAAUUAUUGGGCGUAAAGCGUCCGCAGGCGGCCCUUCAAGUCUGCUGUUAAAAAGUGGAGCUUAACUCCAUCAUGGCAGUGGAAACUGUUGGGCUUGAGUGUGGUAGGGGCAGAGGGAAUUCCCGGUGUAGCGGUGAAAUGCGUAGAUAUCAGGAAGAACACCAGUGGCGAAGGCGCUCUGCUGGGCCAUCACUGACGCUCAUGGACGAAAGCCAGGGGAGCGAAAGGGAUU